Molecule: ribosomal RNA, 460 nt
Filed under: uncultured bacterium
Lineage: Bacteria
Description: bacterial SSU rRNA
Rfam family: Bacterial small subunit ribosomal RNA
Source: RNAcentral
AACGAACGCUGGCGGCAUGCCUAACACAUGUAAGUCGAACGAACCCUUCGGGGUUAGUGGCGCACGGGUGCGUAACGCGUGGGGAUCUGCCCAAAGGUUCGGAAUAACUCAGAGAAAUUUGAGCUAAUACCGGAUAAUGUCUUCGGACCAAAGAUUUAUUGCCUUUGGAUGAACCCGCGUAGGAUUAGCUUGUUGGUGGGGUAAAGGCCUACCAAGGCGACGAUCCUUAGCUGGUCUGAGAGGAUGAUCAGCCACACUGGGACUGAGACACGGCCCAGACUCCUACGGGAGGCAGCAGUGGGGAAUAUUGGACAAUGGGCGAAAGCCUGAUCCAGCAAUGCCGCGUGAGUGAUGAAGGCCUUAGGGUUGUAAAGCUCUUUUACCAGGGAUGAUAAUGACAGUACCUGGAGAAUAAGCUCCGGCUAACUCCGUGCCAGCAGCCGCGGUAAUGUCUAUCAUG